GCAGUCGAACGCUUCUUUUUCCCCGGAGCUUGCUCCACCGGAAAAAGAAGAGUGGCGAACGGGUGAGUAACACGUGGGUAACCUGCCCAUCAGAAGGGGAUAACACUUGGAAACAGGUGCUAAUACCGUAUAACAAUCAAAACCGCAUGGUUUUGAUUUGAAAGGCGCUUUCGGGUGUCGCUGAUGGAUGGACCCGCGGUGCAUUAGCUAGUUGGUGAGGUAACGGCUCACCAAGGCCACGAUGCAUAGCCGACCUGAGAGGGUGAUCGGCCACAUUGGGACUGAGACACGGCCCAAACUCCUACGGGAGGCAGCAGUAGGGAAUCUUCGGCAAUGGACGAAAGUCUGACCGAGCAACGCCGCGUGAGUGAAGAAGGUUUUCGGAUCGUAAAACUCUGUUGUUAGAGAAGAACAAGGAUGAGAGUAACUGUUCAUCCCUUGACGGUAUCUAACCAGAAAGCCACGGCUAACUACGUGCCAGCAGCCGCGGUAAUACGUAGGUGGCAAGCGUUGUCCGGAUUUAUUGGGCGUAAAGCGAGCGCAGGCGGUUUCUUAAGUCUGAUGUGAAAGCCCCCGGCUCAACCGGGGAGGGUCAUUGGAAACUGGGAGACUUGAGUGCAGAAGAGGAGAGUGGAAUUCCAUGUGUAGCGGUGAAAUGCGUAGAUAUAUGGAGGAACACCAGUGGCGAAGGCGGCUCUCUGGUCUGUAACUGACGCUGAGGCUCGAAAGCGUGGGGAGCAAACAGGAUUAGAUACCCUGGUAGUCCACGCCGUAAACGAUGAGUGCUAAGUGUUGGAGGGUUUCCGCCCUUCAGUGCUGCAGCUAACGCAUUAAGCACUCCGCCUGGGGAGUACGACCGCAAGGUUGAAACUCAAAGGAAUUGACGGGGGCCCGCACAAGCGGUGGAGCAUGUGGUUUAAUUCGAAGCAACGCGAAGAACCUUACCAGGUCUUGACAUCCUUUGACCACUCUAGAGAUAGAGCUUCCCCUUCGGGGGCAAAGUGACAGGUGGGUGCAUGGUUGUCGUC
RNAcentral lists this ribosomal RNA (1028 nucleotides) under Enterococcus faecium. Its description in RNAcentral is "bacterial SSU rRNA". It matches the Rfam family "Bacterial small subunit ribosomal RNA", at positions 57 to 1056 of the family's 1533-position model. Lineage: Bacteria; Bacillati; Bacillota; Bacilli; Lactobacillales; Enterococcaceae. The record is from RNAcentral.